RNAcentral lists this long non-coding RNA (867 nucleotides) under Lonchura striata (white-rumped munia). RNAcentral's name for it is "domestica (Bengalese finch) lncRNA (ENSLSDG00000011852.1)". Lineage: Eukaryota; Metazoa; Chordata; Aves; Passeriformes; Estrildidae. The record is from RNAcentral.
GAAAAGUUGGGAUAUUUUACGUGAUUUGGGGUGGGAUUUAUUGGGGUGGGACUUGGAUUUUUUGGGCGAUUCGGGUGAUUUUUGGGGCGGGAUUUUGGUGCGAUUCGGAGCACUUUGGGCUGGAUUCUGGGGAUUUUGGGGCGGGAUUUUUUGUGCGAUUCGGGUGAUUUUUGGGGCGGGAUUUUUCAGAGAUUCAGGUGAUUUUUGGGGCAGGAUUUUUCGGUGAUUCGGAGCACUUUGGGCUGGAUUCGGGGGAUUUUGGGGUGGGAUUUUUUGGGCGAUUCGGGUGAUUUUGGGAUGGGAUUUUUUGGGCGAUUCGGGUGAUUUUUGGGGCGGGAUGUUUUGGCGAUUCGGGGGAUUUUGGGGUGGGAUUUUUUGGGCGAUUCGGGUGAUUUUUGGGGUGGAUUUGGGGGUUUUUUGGGCAGGAUUUUUGUGCGAUUCGGGUGAUUUUUGGGGUGGGACUUUUUGGCGAUUUGGGUGAUUUUUGGAGCAGGAUUUUUCAGCGAUUCGGGGGAUUUUUGGAGCGGGAUUUUUCAGCGAUUCGGGGGAUUUUUGGAGCGGGAUUUUUCAGCGAUUCGGGUGAUUUUUGGGGCAGGAUUUUUCAGCGAUUCGGAGCACUUUGGGCUGGAUUCGGGGAUUUUGGUCCCGUACCUGAUCUCGAAGUCGAUGUUGGCCUCGAAGGGCGGCGCCGGCUGCACGCCCAGCGCGCCCCAGCGCAGCCCCCGCUCCAGCAGCCGCCGCGCCGGGGCCACCAGGCGGGGCAGGGAGACCCCCACCCUGACAAAGAGCGCCUGGAGACCCCCCUGGAACCCCAAAAUACCUGCGGGGGGCAAAGGGCACCGUCACCCCAAAAAAAACCCCGAAAAA